GGAUCAUUACUGAAUUCGCGGCCUUCGGGCCCGUCUUUCAACCCCAUGUGUAUCUUCUCCACGUUGCUUCGGCGGGCCAGCCUUCUGGGCGGUCGUCGAACGUAUUCCCUCCGGGGUGCGUUCGGGCCUGUGCCCGCCGAAGACCCUUCUAAACUCUGAUUAUAAUUGUCGUCUGAGUCUUUAAAAAAUUAAACAAAACUUUCAACAACGGAUCUCUUGGUUCUGGCAUCGAUGAAGAACGCAGCGAAACGCGAUAGGUAUUGUGAAUUGCAGAAUUUAGUGAAUCAUCGAAUCUUUGAACGCACAUUGCGCCCUUUGGUAUUCCGAAGGGCAUGCCUGUCCGAGCGUCAUUUCAACCCUCCAGCCCGGCUGGUGUGUUGGGCCUCGUCCCCCCGGGGACGGGCUCCAAAGACAGGGACGGCGCCGCGUCCAGCCCCCGAGCGUAUGGGACUUCGUCACUGCUCGUUAGGGAUGGCCGGCCCGGUCCAACCCCCCAUCUAUUUUUACCUC
Molecule: ribosomal RNA, 510 nt
Filed under: fungal sp. EXP0547F
Lineage: Eukaryota; Fungi
Description: eukaryotic LSU rRNA
Rfam family: 5.8S ribosomal RNA (bases 197-350)
Source: RNAcentral